Molecule: ribosomal RNA, 507 nt
Filed under: Pseudomonas sp.
Lineage: Bacteria; Pseudomonadati; Pseudomonadota; Gammaproteobacteria; Pseudomonadales; Pseudomonadaceae
Description: bacterial SSU rRNA
Rfam family: Bacterial small subunit ribosomal RNA
Source: RNAcentral
AGUCGAGCGGUAGAGAGAAGCUUGCUUCUCUUGAGAGCGGCGGACGGGUGAGUAAUGCCUAGGAAUCUGCCUGGUAGUGGGGGAUAACGUUCGGAAACGAACGCUAAUACCGCAUACGUCCUACGGGAGAAAGCAGGGGACCUUCGGGCCUUGCGCUAUCAGAUGAGCCUAGGUCGGAUUAGCUAGUUGGUGAGGUAAUGGCUCACCAAGGCGACGAUCCGUAACUGGUCUGAGAGGAUGAUCAGUCACACUGGAACUGAGACACGGUCCAGACUCCUACGGGAGGCAGCAGUGGGGAAUAUUGGACAAUGGGCGAAAGCCUGAUCCAGCCAUGCCGCGUGUGUGAAGAAGGUCUUCGGAUUGUAAAGCACUUUAAGUUGGGAGGAAGGGCAUUAACCUAAUACGUUAGUGUUUUGACGUUACCGACAGAAUAAGCACCGGCUAACUCUGUGCCAGCAGCCGCGGUAAUACAGAGGGUGCAAGCGUUAAUCGGAAUUACUGGGCGUA